GUUUGCUGAGCCUCCAAGUGUUAAAUGAAGAAACAAGUGACUGCAAGGAAGAAGCUAAGCUUCCCCCAACGACCAUGCCCACCAAGAAACCAUUCAGGAAAAGGAGCAAAUGGAAC
Myotis brandtii (Brandt's bat) is the source of this 116-nucleotide long non-coding RNA. RefSeq lists it as uncharacterized. NCBI's taxonomy places the organism in Eukaryota, Metazoa, Chordata, Mammalia, Chiroptera, Vespertilionidae. The transcript has 3 exons. The record is from RefSeq and is a predicted model, not a curated record.